GACACAGGGAGGUAGUGACAAGAAAUAACAAUACGGGGCUUAAAGUCUUGUAGUUGGAAUGAUGGGAAUUUAAACCUCUUCCAGAGUAUCAAUUGGAGGGCAAGUCUGGUGCCAGCAGCCGCGGUAAUUCCAGCUCCAAUAGCGUAUAUUAAAAUUGUUGCAGUUAAAAAGCUCGUAGUUGAAUUUCUGCUACAUUGCUUGUGUCCCUCUGGGGUCUGUGCAUGUGGCUUUUUUCGGACGGAGUUUCUUUGUCUGAAUGUUUACUUCGAGAAAAUUAGAGUGCUCAAAGCAGGCUUUCGCCUUGAAUAGUUUAGCAUGGAAUAAUAAAGUAGGACUUUGGUUCUAUUUUGUUGGUUUUAGGUACCAAAGUAAUGGUUAAUAGGAACAGUUGGGGGCAUUCGUAUUUAACUGUCAGAGGUGAAAUUCUUAGAUUUGUUAAAGACGAACUACUGCGAAAGCAUUUGCCAAGGAUGUUUUCAUUAAUCAAGAACGAAAGUUAGGGGAUCGAAGA
RNAcentral lists this ribosomal RNA (511 nucleotides) under Theileria annulata. Its description in RNAcentral is "SSU rRNA". It matches the Rfam family "Eukaryotic small subunit ribosomal RNA", at positions 453 to 1004 of the family's 1831-position model. The record is from RNAcentral. Lineage: Eukaryota; Apicomplexa; Aconoidasida; Piroplasmida; Theileriidae.